This 765-nucleotide long non-coding RNA is filed under the name Homo sapiens (human). RNAcentral's name for it is "HSALNT0307941". Lineage: Eukaryota; Metazoa; Chordata; Mammalia; Primates; Hominidae. The record is from RNAcentral.
GGCAACCAGCUUGCGUCCGUUUCCAUGUUGUGGGAGAUUUGUUCUUUCGCUCUUUGUGGUAAAUCUUGCUACUGCUCACUCUUUGAGUCCACACUGCUUUUAUGAGCUGUAACACUCACCGGGAAGGUCUGCAGCUUCAAUCCUGAAGCCAGCGAGGCCACCAGCCCACCGGGAGGAACGAACAACUCCAGACGCACCGCCUUAAGAGCUGUAACACUCACCGCGAAGGUCUGCAGCUUCACUCCUGAGCCAGCGAGACCACGAACCCACCAGAAGAAAGAAACUCCGAACACAUCCGAACACCAGAAGGAACAAACUCCAGACGCGCCAACUGUAACACUCACCGCGAGGAUCCGUGGCUUCAUUCUUGAAGUCAGUGAGACCAAGAACCCACCAAUUCCGGACACACUGUUAUUGUCUUCAGAAGGAGAGUAAAAAGAAUGCUGGGUAGAAGAAAUACCUGAAGAAAUAAUGGCCCAACCUCAAAUUUGGUGAAAGACAUAAACUUACAGAUUCAAGAAACUGAGUGUUCCCCAAACAGAAUAAACUUUAAAGAAUCCACACUCAAACACAUCAUAAUCAAACUUCUGAAAACUAACAACAAAGAAAAACUUAAAAUCAGCAAGAGAGAAACCACACAUUAUCAACUGAUGAAAAGUGACUCAAGUGACAGCAGAUUUAUAAUCAGAAACUUGAAGGACAGAAGGAAGAGGCAAAACAUUUUGAAAGCCCUAAAAGGAAAGAACUGUCAACCCAGAAUUCGAC